CAGAGUGCUGGGUGAAGUUUCCCUGAGCAAGUCACACAAGAGCUGGGCCUUGGUGGAUAGCAGACAGUGAGCAGAGACCGGCCCAAGCACGCUCUGCAGAAGGGAGCUGCUCCAGUGCAGAGGAUUCCAGGCAGCAUGCUGGAAGAGCAGACCAGGGCCCGGAAAGAGGUCCCCAGGAGACACUUUCCUUCUGCUACAACCAGCCUCUCUUCCUCCAAGAGGAUCCUGGGACUGCUGGCUAGUUGGCUCCUAGGCAAUGAACCUACAAUCCAGAGGUCAAGAGAAGAGGGCUUUCUGGGCUCCUUCUCUGGAGGGUCUGGCAGUUUCUUCACAGAAGAUGGAGCACUGUCGCCCUCUUGUGGUCCUAGGAGAGUGCACAAAGACGUGAGCAGAAAGAAACUGCUGGACAGGCAGUCAAGGUCUGUGUGCUGGAUGAAUCCACUGCCCCCACCCGACCCUUAGCAAAUCCUCGAGAUGUCACCAGAUGACCUGGGAACCCCAGCUCCUGCGAAUGGCCUUGGAGAUCCAGAUGUAUCUUGCAAGAAGACAUACACAUGGCCAACAAGCACAAGAGAAAAUCUUCCGCAGGGCAGCCCCAGUGGCGUAGCGGUUUUGCGCCACCUGCAGCCCAGGACGUGAUCCUGGAGUCCCGGGAUCGAGUCCCACUUCAAGCUCCCUGCAUGGAGCCUGCUUCUCCCUCUGCCUGUGUCUCUGCCUCUCUCUCUCUCUCUCUCUGCAUCUCUAUGAAUUAAAAAAAAAUCUUAAAAAAAAAAAAAAAGAAAAUGCUCCGCAUCACUUGCCAUCAGGGAAAUACAAAUCAAACCACAAUGAGAUACCACCUCUCACCAGUGAGAAUGGGGAAAAUUAACGAGGCAGGAAACAACAAAUGUUGGAGAGGAUGUGGAGAAAGGGGAACCCUUUUGCACUGUUGGUGGGAAUGUGAACUGGUGCAGCCACUCUGGAAAACUGUGUGGAAGUUCCUCAAAGAGUUAAAACUAGACCUGCCCUACGACCCAGCAAUUGCACUGCUGGGGAUUUACCCCAAAGAUACAGAUGCAGUGAAAUGCCGGGACACCUGCACCCCGAUGUUUCUAGCAGCCAUGUCCACAAAAGCCAAACUGUGGAAGGAGCCUCGGUGUCCAUCGAAAGACGAAUGGAUAAAGAAGAUGUGGUUUAUGUAUACAAUGGAAUAUUACUCAGCCAUUAGAAACGACAAAUACCCACCAUUUGCUUCAACGUGGAUAGAACUGGAGGGUAUGAUGCUGAGUGAAGUAAGUCCGUCGGAGGACAAACGUUUUUUUAAAGAUUUAUUUAUUUAGGGGAUCCCUGGGUGGCGCAGCGGUUUGGCGCCUGCCUUUGGCCCAGGGCGCGAUCCUGGAG
This is a long non-coding RNA of Nyctereutes procyonoides (raccoon dog), 1380 nucleotides long. RefSeq lists it as uncharacterized. NCBI's taxonomy places the organism in Eukaryota, Metazoa, Chordata, Mammalia, Carnivora, Canidae. The transcript has 3 exons. The record is from RefSeq and is a predicted model, not a curated record.